GAGGAGUGGGUGAGAAACAAUGCGCGUGCAAAUGAGAGAAACAGGCGCAAUGACAGACCUCGCAACUUUGAUAGGUCAAGAAACUUUGAAAGAAGAAGAGAAAAUAUGGACCAGAAUCGAAUGAGUAAUCAGGGUCCUGGAGGUCCACCUCGGAACAUGGGACCUCCGCCAAAUAUGGGAGGUCCACCCGGGAACAUGGGUCCUCCACCAAAUAUGGGAGGUCCACCCGUGAACAUGGGUCCUCCACCAAAUAUGGGUGGUCCUUCCGGCAACUUUGGAGGCCCGCCAAACAUGGGAGGUCCUCCCGGCAACAUGGGAGGCCCACCAAACAUGGG
RNAcentral lists this long non-coding RNA (335 nucleotides) under Panax ginseng (ginseng). RNAcentral describes it as "long non-coding RNA (PGIN_LNC011333)". The record is from RNAcentral. Lineage: Eukaryota; Viridiplantae; Streptophyta; Magnoliopsida; Apiales; Araliaceae.